RNAcentral lists this non-coding RNA (52 nucleotides) under Trypanosoma lewisi. Lineage: Eukaryota; Euglenozoa; Kinetoplastea; Trypanosomatida; Trypanosomatidae. The record is from RNAcentral.
GUAUAUAACGGACACACAAGAAUGAACGAGAUGAGAUGUAUGGUGAUGUGGA